This 486-nucleotide ribosomal RNA is filed under the name uncultured bacterium. RNAcentral describes it as "partial 16S ribosomal RNA". It matches the Rfam family "Bacterial small subunit ribosomal RNA", at positions 30 to 507 of the family's 1533-position model. The record is from RNAcentral.
AUUGAACGCUGGCGACAUGCCUUACACAUGCAAGUCGAACGGCAGCACGGGUGCUUGCACCUGUUGGCGAGUGGCGAACGGGUGAGUAAUACAUCGGAACAUGUCCUGUAGUGGGGGAUAGCCCGGCGAAAGCCGGAUUAAUACCGCAUACGAACUACGGAUGAAAGCGGGGGACCUUCGGGCCUCGCGCUAUAGGGUUGGCCGAUGGCUGAUUAGCUAGUUGGUGGGGUAAAGGCCUACCAAGGCGACGAUCAGUAGCUGGUCUGAGAGGACGACCAGUCACACUGGGACUGAGACACGGCCCAGACUCCUACGGGAGGCAGCAGUGGGGAAUUUUGGACAAUGGGCGAAAGCCUGAUCCAGCAAUGCCGCGUGUGUGAAGAAGGCCUUCGGGUUGUAAAGCACUUUUGUCCGGAAAGAAAUCCUUGGCCCUAAUACGGUCGGGGGAUGACGGUACCGGAAGAAUAAGCACCGGCUAACUACGUG